CAGCCGCCGCGGGAAUACGAAGGGGGCUAGCGUUGUUCGGAUUUACUGGGCGUAAAGCGCACGUAGGCGGAUCGAUCAGUCAGGGGUGAAAUCCCAGAGCUCAACUCUGGAACUGCCUUUGAUACUGUCGAUCUGGAGUAUGGAAGAGGUGAGUGGAAUUCCGAGUGUAGAGGUGAAAUUCGUAGAUAUUCGGAGGAACACCAGUGGCGAAGGCGGCUCACUGGUCCAUUACUGACGCUGAGGUGCGAAAGCGUGGGGAGCAAACAGGAUUAGAUACCCCAGUAGUCCCUGUCUCUUAUAA
RNAcentral lists this ribosomal RNA (301 nucleotides) under uncultured bacterium. Its description in RNAcentral is "partial 16S ribosomal RNA". It matches the Rfam family "Bacterial small subunit ribosomal RNA", at positions 509 to 809 of the family's 1533-position model. The record is from RNAcentral.